RNAcentral lists this long non-coding RNA (1920 nucleotides) under Eucalyptus grandis. Its description in RNAcentral is "long non-coding RNA (EGRA_LNC000037)". The record is from RNAcentral. Lineage: Eukaryota; Viridiplantae; Streptophyta; Magnoliopsida; Myrtales; Myrtaceae.
UCCUAUUACCUCAUCCUGGUAUCUACUUCUGGAUCGAUGGCCAUUUGAACCUCUAGCUUUGUUCCAAGAGAUACACAUUCAGUUAUUAAGAUAUGUACUCGGUAAAUUUGUUAUUAUCAUGUGCAGCCAGCAUCUAGACUUUUAAGUUAUGUAAUUAUAAGCUUAGGUGAAUUUAGAUCUGCAACUCACUCCGCCUAGUGAAUUUGAAAAAGAAAUUUGAGUGUGUGGUGGAACCCUUUCCUUGCUGUGUGGGAGGAACCUUUCUGAAUUUGUCAUAUUGAGCAAAAAUUUUGAAAACGCUGAGUGCUGAAUCUCUCUUUCAUCCAACGUUUAGUAAAUUUAUUGUCUUGCUUGAAAUAUCAAUUGGGAAGAGUCAAUCCGUUCAAGUGAGAAUAUUAUACCCCAUCAAAUGAUGGUAGUAAUUCUCAUAUAUUGUGUUUUUAUGGUUAGUCAAGAAGUACUAAUGGUGGAUCCAUUACAUUAUUUGGUUAGUUUUGUCUUCGGAUGGUUUUUUAUUGUGCUGCUGUCCUUCAGGAGGAGUAGCUUCUGAGAGGAUUCACACUUAAAUGAUGCUAGUAAUUCCCAUGUAUUGUGCUUAAUGAUUGAUCCAGGAAGUUUUAAUGGGGGACCUGUUUAGACAGAGGGAUGCUAUAGUUCAUUUUAUUUCAAGUUUGAAGCUUCUUUUAUUCAUCUUCACAGCCUUAUCAACCUUUUCUUGUCCAAGAUAUGUGUUUCCUUCUCCAUCUCUCUUUUCUUGUAAUCUUUAAAUACAUUUUGCGGAAAUCCUUUAUCGAUAUGAUUUCUUUCCUGGACUGGGAUGGCUGUUGACCAGAUCUACAUGGAAGGAAUUAUCCCCAAAGUGGCCUAAGGCAUAUCCUUAUUGGUUUGAUAUAUUGGUUUUAGAUCACAUAUGUUUAUAGCUCAUGUGUCUCCCGAAAUUUUCUUUGACAACACUAACUUUCUGGGAUGACUGGUUGAGGCUACAAGAGAACCACCAAGGUCGACAAUUUAUUCGGCCAGAACACGUAUACUCUGAUGUGUGGUCACUUCAGUCUUGUGCAGUUACUUUGCAAGUUUUGCAUGUAUAAUAUAGUAUGUAAAUUUAUAACUGAUUAUUCACGGCCAUGCUCAUGGUAGAGGGCUUAUAACGGCUCCCUUACGCAUUGUCCUUGCUUGUAUUAAUGAUUCUAGAGUUGGAUACUCUCUUUCUCUCUUACUCGCACAAAAGAUAUGAUGCUUUCUCCCACGUGCAGGAUGGUGUACCAAGGACAGCAUGUGAAGGAGCAGUAAUCUCCCGGUAUUCACCACCAUGGCAUGUGUUUCUAGUGGGUCCGGAUUCUUUCAGGCUGCUUGGGAUCAAACGUGUUUGAUGCAUUGAGGUGAGGUUCCACGGCGCUGGUAAAUCAUGGUGCCAGACCUGAGCUUCCUCUUUCCUCCUCAACGCCUAGUGUAACUGGUGCACUAUCAGAGGAACCACCGGGAGCAUAGCAACUGAAGCUCGCUGAUGAGCAGAAGUGUAGAGGGCUGACGAUUCCUUUUGCGAUUUUGAUUGAGGAGAGGGAGGAUUCUUCUGAACGGCAGUGUCCAGUCCAUACAUAUGCCUUUAAAUGGCCGAAGCAAGCCGUCAUUCAUUGGAAGAGAGCCAUAGGUCAUGUUAGCUUACUUUUACACUUAAUAGCACGUAACCUCAACAAAUUUUGUUGCUCCCGAAGAAACAUACAUCUGUCUCUCGCCAUGUUUCCCCGCUCUUUUGCCCACCGCUUUGGCGGGUUGGAGCGCGGAGGACUAAAAUGUAAGAGACCCACACAGUCAAAAGUGGGAGUUCAUGCCUGUCUUUGUAUGCAAAACACGAGGAACUUCUAGUCAUGUGUGUUGUGAACAAAAUGGUGAGAAAAAUUUGGUACAAAGUUUAUUUAUAAA